RNAcentral lists this ribosomal RNA (370 nucleotides) under uncultured organism. RNAcentral's name for it is "partial 16S ribosomal RNA". It matches the Rfam family "Bacterial small subunit ribosomal RNA", at positions 527 to 896 of the family's 1533-position model. The record is from RNAcentral.
AGAGGGUGCAAGCGUUAAUCGGAAUUACUGGGCGUAAAGGGCGUGUAGGCGGAUGUGCAAGUCAGAUGUGAAAUACCUGGGGCUUGACCGAGGAAGGCCAUUUGAAACUGCAUAUCUAGAGUACAAUAGAGGGGAGUGGAAUUUCCGGUGUAGCGGUGAAAUGCGUAGAUAUCGGAAGGAACACCAGUGGCGAAGGCGGCUCUCUGGAUUGAUACUGACGCUGAGGCGCGGAAGCGUGGGGAGCAAACAGGAUUAGAUACCCUGGUAGUCCACGCCGUAAACGAUGAGAACUAGCUGUAGGGCCCUUCGGGGUUUUGUAGCGUAGCUAACGCGCUAAGUUCUCCGCCUGGGGAGUACGGCCGCAAGGCUA